Long non-coding RNA from Austrofundulus limnaeus, 344 nucleotides. RefSeq lists it as uncharacterized. The transcript has 3 exons. NCBI's taxonomy places the organism in Eukaryota, Metazoa, Chordata, Actinopteri, Cyprinodontiformes, Rivulidae. The record is from RefSeq and is a predicted model, not a curated record.
AGACACCCCGGUCCCCAGCGACACUUGCUCUACCUGGGGGAUCCCCAUGGUGUUCCUGGGACAGAAAAGAUGCAUAAUCCCUCCAGCAAGUUUCAGGUCUAAUGCCUCUUCCCAGUGGAAUAUGCUCAAAACACCUCUGAAGUGAUCAUAAUAUGGAAGCAAACACAGUCCACGAGCUGCUAUCUUCCUUCAAGGAAACAUUUGAAUGAUCUUAUUGUGAAUUAGUGGAAGUACUGGAACUACAAAGAAAAACUGUCAUCAGGUUUCUUGGACUGAUUUAUACAACAGGAUGCUGAUUUGAUUUUUUUUCUAAAAACAAACAUGCAACCUAAUCAAAGAACAGA